CCUACGGGUGGCUGCAGUGAGGAAUAUUGGUCAAUGGACGAGAGUCUGAACCAGCCAAGUAGCGUGAAGGAUGACUGCCCUAUGGGUUGUAAACUUCUUUUAUAUGGGAAUAAAAUGUUCCACGUGUGGGAUUUUGUAUGUACCAUAUGAAUACGGAUCGGCUAACUCCGUGCCAGCAGCCGCGGUAAUACGGAGGAUCCGAGCGUUAUCCGGAUUUAUUGGGUUUAAAGGGAGCGUAGGUGGAUUGUUAAGUCAGUUGUGAAAGUUUGCGGCUCAACCGUAAAAUUGCAGUUGAAACUGGCAGUCUUGAGUACAGUAGAGGUGGGCGGAAGUCGUGGUGUAGCGGUGAAAUGCUUAGAUAUCACGAAGAACUCCGAUUGCGAAGGCAGUUCACUGGACUGCAACUGACACUGAGGCUCGAAAGUGUGGGUAUCAAACAGGCUUGGGUACCCCGUAGUC
RNAcentral lists this ribosomal RNA (459 nucleotides) under uncultured bacterium. RNAcentral's name for it is "partial 16S ribosomal RNA". It matches the Rfam family "Bacterial small subunit ribosomal RNA", at positions 338 to 795 of the family's 1533-position model. The record is from RNAcentral.